Molecule: ribosomal RNA, 506 nt
Filed under: uncultured bacterium
Lineage: Bacteria
Description: partial 16S ribosomal RNA
Rfam family: Bacterial small subunit ribosomal RNA
Source: RNAcentral
AGUGAACGCUGGCGGUAGGCCUAACACAUGCAAGUCGAACGGCAGCACAGGAGAGCUUGCUCUCUGGGUGGCGAGUGGCGGACGGGUGAGGAAUACAUCGGAAUCUACUCUGUCGUGGGGGAUAACGUAGGGAAACUUACGCUAAUACCGCAUACGACCUACGGGUGAAAGCAGGGGAUCUUCGGACCUUGCGCGAUUGAAUGAGCCGAUGUCGGAUUAGCUAGUUGGCGGGGUAAAGGCCCACCAAGGCGACGAUCCGUAGCUGGUCUGAGAGGAUGAUCAGCCACACUGGAACUGAGACACGGUCCAGACUCCUACGGGAGGCAGCAGUGGGGAAUAUUGGACAAGGGGCGCAAGCCUGAUCCAGCCAUACCGCGUGGGUGAAGAAGGCCUUCGGGUUGUGAAGCCCUUUUGUUGGGAAAGAAAUCCAGCUGGCUAAUACCCGGUUGGGAUGACGGUACCCAAAGAAUAAGCACCGGCUAACUUCGUGCCAGCCGCCGCCGUAA